Prionailurus viverrinus (fishing cat) is the source of this 1415-nucleotide long non-coding RNA. RefSeq lists it as uncharacterized. NCBI's taxonomy places the organism in Eukaryota, Metazoa, Chordata, Mammalia, Carnivora, Felidae. The record is from RefSeq and is a predicted model, not a curated record. The transcript is spliced from 7 exons.
CGCGGAUUGGGCGCCUGGGGCUGUGCGGGACGCCGGCGGCGGCUCUCCCUCCAGCGCCCCGACGCUGCCCCUAUUCCCGCCCACUCACGGAGAGGGAAACUGAGGCGCGCCGCAGUUGCCACGUUGGAGGGGACCAAACGGCAAGGAACCGAAUGCUGCCAACAUCUAGUGAGUGAGCUUAGAUGCAAAUCCUUCCCCAGCCAGCCUGCGAAUGAGACCACAGCCCAGGCCGACAGCCUGUGAGAGACCCUGAGCUGGAGGAGGCUACGCCCAGACUCCUGCCCCACAACAACCUGCAUUGUAGUUUCGUGGUUGUGUUUUUAAAAGGAAUCCUCAUCUUUUGAGAGGCUCAAACCAGCCUGUUUGCAGAUGAAAUGAUCCGAUGUCGGGGAUUUGCUUCAAAGUCAUGGCAGUCUCUAAGACGACAAUGAUUCCCCGGGACCAGCUUAUUAAAAGCAAAAAAAAAUCCAGUGGCAGAGGGGACGUGGGGGACCUGGAUGAGAUCUGUGAAGCCUCGGUGGAUGCUGUGUGGAUCUAUGAGAACCCCAGGCCCCAUGGAGGUCCGUGGGGGUCCCUGAAGGCAGAGCUGAUGCUGAGCUGUACCCCCAUCUGGACAACGGAUGGCCCUGAUCCUCUCUGCUCAGAAAUGCCCAGUGCGAUGGAUGGAUGUGUGUGUCCCCACCACCCUCCCCCCCCAGGAGGUCCACAAGGAGCCCAAACCCACCAAGACAUGCAGCGUGACGUGCUCUGGGCCACAUUCUUCAUGCUCGCAACCUCCCGAUGGGGCCCGCGGUGCACAAAGCAGCCCAGUGAGAGAACACACCCACCUUCCCAGCUCUGGCUUCCAGAUGGUGCCGGCCUGGCCUCCAGGUUUCCACGGUGGGGAAGGGAUGCCCUCCCCGCCCUCUGGAGUCCCCGAGACCCGCCUGUUCCAGGCUCUGGCCUGGUGGCGGAGAGGGGAAUGCUUUUUCCCGCCUUCCUCCGGGCUCCGUGACACAGGCACCUGGGUCACAGAUGUGUCCCGCAGGGAGACAAAGGUGGCGAUGACCUAACCACCCCCACAGCGGGCAGUUCCUUGAAAAGGCGUGAGUCCCCAGCUCUUUCGGGAAGCAGCUCGGCGGAGUGUAUCAGGGGCCUGGAAAGGUGGACGCUUCCCUCUUCAGCGAUCACACUUCUGGGAAUUUGCCCGAAGGAACUAAUCCUAAAAAAAGAGAAAAGAAAGACCACACCCCCAGGGAUAUCUACCAAGGUGACAAGUCCAAUAGGAAAUCAUUGGGUGCGACCGCUCCCAGCCGCAGAGAAAAAAUAGAUUCUGCAUUGUAACCCAGUUAUACGCGGAUGCUGGCGUAUAACUAAACAGAAAACAGACAGAGCAUGAACGGGCGAGGGGCAGAGAGAGAGGGAGACACAGAAAC